RNAcentral lists this ribosomal RNA (453 nucleotides) under uncultured fungus. RNAcentral's name for it is "eukaryotic LSU rRNA". The stretch from base 105 to 256 matches the Rfam family "5.8S ribosomal RNA". Lineage: Eukaryota; Fungi. The record is from RNAcentral.
UCCGUAGGUGAACCUGCGGAAGGAUCAAUACAAAAGAGGGGUUAAGGAGAGAUGUGUUGAAAAAAAGAGACAUGAUAGGCAAAUAUAUGUUUUUAUCUUUACACAACUCAUAACAAUGGAUCUCUGGGCUCUUGCAUCGAUGAAGAACGCAGCUAAACGCGAAAUGUGUUGUGACUUGCAAUCUUUGUGAAACAUCAAUCUUUGAACGCACCUUGUACCUAGAGGUUCGCCUCUCGGUGUGCCUGUUUGAGUAUGGCAUUGCAGCUCACUCGUCGGAAGAGAGUGGCAUUGAGCGCGCCGGCGGCCGCUUGAAAGAGAGGGCGCGACCACGUGGCCAUCCGGGGAUAGAUGAUCUGGGCGACCACGUGACCGCGCACUGCUUCGGCACCACACACACGCAUCUCAAAUCAGGCAGGACGACCCGCUGAACUUAAGCAUAUCAAUAAGCGGAGG